GACGAACGCUGGCGGCGUGCCUAAUACAUGCAAGUAGAACGCUGAAGGAGGAGCUUGCUCUUCUGGAUGAGUUGCGAACGGGUGAGUAACGCGUAGGUAACCUGCCUGGUAGCGGGGGAUAACUAUUGGAAACGAUAGCUAAUACCGCAUAACAGUAGAUGUUGCAUGACAUUUACUUAAAAGGUGCAAUUGCAUCCCUACCAGAUGGACCUGCGUUGUAUUAGCUAGUUGGUAGGGUAACGGCUCACCAAGGCGACGAUACAUAGCCGACCUGAGAGGGUGAUCGGCCACACUGGGACUGAGACACGGCCCAGACUCCUACGGGAGGCAGCAGUAGGGAAUCUUCGGCAAUGGACGGAAGUCUGACCGAGCAACGCCGCGUGAGUGAAGAAGGUUUUCGGAUCGUAAAGCUCUGUUGUAAGAGAAGAACGAGUGUGAGAGUGGAAAGUUCACACUGUGACGGUAUCUUACCAGAAAGGGACGGCUAACUACGUG
This 495-nucleotide ribosomal RNA is filed under the name uncultured bacterium. RNAcentral's name for it is "partial 16S ribosomal RNA". It matches the Rfam family "Bacterial small subunit ribosomal RNA", at positions 28 to 507 of the family's 1533-position model. The record is from RNAcentral.